Molecule: transfer RNA, 85 nt
Filed under: Synechococcus sp. ARS1019
Lineage: Bacteria; Bacillati; Cyanobacteriota; Cyanophyceae; Synechococcales; Synechococcaceae
Description: tRNA-Ser
Rfam family: tRNA
About the family: Transfer RNA (tRNA) molecules are approximately 80 nucleotides in length. Their secondary structure includes four short double-helical elements and three loops (D, anti-codon, and T loops).
Source: RNAcentral
GGANAGGUGGUCGAGUGGUUGAUGGCUCUGGUCUUGAAAACCAGCGAUGUGAAAGCAUCCGUGGGUUCGAAUCCCACCCUCUCCG